This 156-nucleotide small RNA is filed under the name Sphenodon punctatus (tuatara). RNAcentral describes it as "TUC338 (ENSSPUG00000010933.1)". The record is from RNAcentral. Lineage: Eukaryota; Metazoa; Chordata; Lepidosauria; Sphenodontia; Sphenodontidae.
UUGACAGCCCUGGAGACCAAAGUCCUCAGUUUAUCCACAGAACAGGUGAAAAUCUUCCCACAACGUGCAGCAAUAUGUCUCGGCUCUGACGUCAAACAUUACCUCAAGGCUUGAGAGGCUACAUUCCUCUCACUGCCUGAUCAACCAUUUGCCUCC